This 542-nucleotide ribosomal RNA is filed under the name uncultured bacterium. RNAcentral describes it as "partial 16S ribosomal RNA". It matches the Rfam family "Bacterial small subunit ribosomal RNA", at positions 355 to 888 of the family's 1533-position model. The record is from RNAcentral.
UGGGGAAUUUUGGACAAUGGGCGAAAGCCUGAUCCAGCAAUGCCGCGUGUGUGAAGAAGGCCUUCGGGUUGUAAAGCACUUUUGUCCGGAAAGAAAUCCUUGGCUCUAAUACAGUCGGGGGAUGACGGUACCGGAAGAAUAAGCACCGGCUAACUACGUGCCAGCAGCCGCGGUAAUACGUAGGGUGCAAGCGUUAAUCGGAAUUACUGGGCGUAAAGCGUGCGCGGGCGGUUUGCUAAGACCGAUGUGAAAUCCCCGGGCUCAACCUGGGAACUGCAUUGGUGACUGGGCAGGCUAGAGUAUGGCAGAGGGGGGUUAGAAUUCCACGUGUAGCAGUGAAAUGCGUAGAGAUGUGGAGGAAUACCGAUGGCGAAGGCAGCCCCCUGGGCCAAUACUGACGCCCAUGCACGAAAGCGUGGGGAGCAAACAGGAUUAGAUACCCUGGUAGUCCACGCCCUAAACGAUGUCAACUAGUUGUUGGGGAUUCAUUUCCUUAGUAACGUAGCUAACGCGUGAAGUUGACCGCCUGGGGAGUACGGUCG